UGGACAGGAGCGCACUCGUUUCGUCCGUGUGAGUAAAAAUCUUCCGCGGCGAGACGACAAAAGGCGCCAAAAUAAGAUUCGAGAGCAAAAUGCCUCGUAAAUAUAAUAGAAAACCGGGUGUUAUCCCUCGCGCUGUUACCUGGACCGAAGAAAGUAUGCUAGCAGCGUUUGAAGAGAUGAAAAAGGGAGACAAGGGUGUAAAUCAGAUUUCUAAAAUUUAUGGCAUACCAUCUAGAACAUUAAGACGAAGAUUUCUUAAAAAUGACCAACAAAAAUUGACAUUAGGUAAACACCCUGUGCUAGGGUUUGAUAACGAAAAUCUCCCCCUAUUUUAAGAAUAAUUUAGUCUGUUACCAAAGUUGAUUUUUAUUUUUUAAGAUGAUUAUUACUAAUAUCAAGAAGACUGGAGAAGUAUUAAAGUUCAUGCAAGUUAAUUACUACCUAGUAGUUAGUAAAAGAUGUUGAUUAUUAUUAAAAAAAUAUGUGAUCGUUAAUAGAUGAUAAUGUUUAUGUAUGUUAAAACACAAUAAAGACUGAUUAUUAUAAUAUAGUUGUUUCAUUUCAUAACAAAUCAGUUACAAUGUUUGACUAAGUCGUCAAUCCCCACUAAGGGCACCUAUCCUCACAUCAUUUUUCAUGAUAAGUCUUCUAUCCGCCACAGUAGGCGUCUAUCCUAUUUUUUAGAGGUCCAGCAAAUUACAAUUUAUACAAAAUCUACACAGUCUAUAUCAAAUCGAUUCAGAUAAAAUAAUGCAUUAAGAAAUAUAUUAAAUAUUUCUCAAAGAACACAAUGCUCUAAGAUUAUAAAUUUCGGAAUUAUUAAGCUUUUUCAAAAAGUGUGGCAUCUAUCCUGGACUUACCCUAGCCCAUUA
Trichoplusia ni (cabbage looper) is the source of this 872-nucleotide long non-coding RNA. RefSeq lists it as uncharacterized. Lineage: Eukaryota; Metazoa; Arthropoda; Insecta; Lepidoptera; Noctuidae. The record is from RefSeq and is a predicted model, not a curated record. The transcript has 3 exons.